UACGUAGGGUGCAAGCGUUGUCCGGAAUUAUUGGGCGUAAAGAGCUCGUAGGCGGUCUGUCGCGUCGAAUGUGAAAACCCGGGGCUCAACCCCGGGCCUGCAUUCGAUACGGGCAGACUAGAGUCCGGAAGAGGAGAGUGGAAUUCCUGGUGUAGCGGUGAAAUGCGCAGAUAUCAGGAAGAACACCAAUGGCGAAGGCAGCUCUCUGGGACGGUACUGACGCUGAGACGCGAAAGCGUGGGGAGCGAACAGG
RNAcentral lists this ribosomal RNA (253 nucleotides) under uncultured bacterium. RNAcentral's name for it is "partial 16S ribosomal RNA". It matches the Rfam family "Bacterial small subunit ribosomal RNA", at positions 524 to 776 of the family's 1533-position model. The record is from RNAcentral.